This 615-nucleotide transfer RNA is filed under the name uncultured Prochlorococcus sp. RNAcentral's name for it is "partial contains 16S ribosomal RNA, 16S-23S ribosomal RNA intergenic spacer, and 23S ribosomal RNA". The stretch from base 227 to 299 matches the Rfam family "tRNA". The record is from RNAcentral. Lineage: Bacteria; Bacillati; Cyanobacteriota; Cyanophyceae; Synechococcales; Prochlorococcaceae.
UGGAUCACCUCCUAACAGGGAGACAACAAAAUGUUAAAUAUUAAUUUUGUCACCUUAGGUCGAUCGGUAUCUCACAUUCUUAAAUUUAUUAAGAAUUUUAAUUCCUAAGUUUUUUCUAGGUCACACCCAUUACUUUCCCUGGGCCAUUAGCUCAGGUGGUUAGAGCGCACCCCUGAUAAGGGUGAGGUCCCUGGUUCAAGUCCAGGAUGGCCCAUAUCUCUAUGUUGGGGGUAUAGCUCAGUUGGUAGAGCGCCUGUUUUGCAAGCAGGAUGUCAGCGGUUCGAGUCCGCUUACCUCCACUGAUUACCACCUCUUCCAUACUUUAAAGAAGGGAAAUGUUUUGAGUUUUGAUCAAAUUCUGAACGAAUCUAGCUUCCUAAUAAAAAAUUAUUAAGAUGCUGGACUCAUUGAAUUACAUUCAUUGUUUUCAGAGAACCUUGACAACUGCAUAGAUUAUUUUUUUAAAGACAAUAAGCAUCUUUAAUGAUGCAGAUUUAUUAUUUGUGCUAAUGCAUUAAUAACAAUUCUAUUAAGCUGAUGCUUCAAUUUUUGAAGUUAUUGGUCAAGCUACAAAGGGCUCACGGAGGAUACCUAGGCACACAGAGGCGAUGAAGG